GGCCCUUAAGCUCAGUUGGUUAGAGCGUGCGGCUCAUAAUCGCCCGGUCGCUGGUUCAAGUCCAGCAAGGGCCACCA
Molecule: transfer RNA, 77 nt
Filed under: Citrobacter freundii
Lineage: Bacteria; Pseudomonadati; Pseudomonadota; Gammaproteobacteria; Enterobacterales; Enterobacteriaceae
Description: tRNA-Ile
Rfam family: tRNA
About the family: Transfer RNA (tRNA) molecules are approximately 80 nucleotides in length. Their secondary structure includes four short double-helical elements and three loops (D, anti-codon, and T loops).
Source: RNAcentral